GACGUAGGUGGCGAGCGUUAUCCGGAUUUACUGGGCGUAAAGCGCGUGCAGGUGGUGCGAUAAGUCGGGCGUGAAAUCUCCUGGCUCAACUGGGAGAGGCCGUCCGAUACUAUCGGACUUGAGGGCAGUAGAGGGAGGUGGAAUUCCGGGUGUAGUGGUGAAAUGCGUAGAGAUCCGGAGGAACACCGGUGGCGAAGGCGGCCUCCUGGACUGCCCCUGACACUCAGACGCGAAAGCUAGGGGAGCGAACGGG
Molecule: ribosomal RNA, 253 nt
Filed under: uncultured Bellilinea sp.
Lineage: Bacteria; Bacillati; Chloroflexota; Anaerolineae; Anaerolineales; Anaerolineaceae
Description: partial 16S ribosomal RNA
Rfam family: Bacterial small subunit ribosomal RNA
Source: RNAcentral